Xenopus tropicalis (tropical clawed frog) is the source of this 2541-nucleotide long non-coding RNA. RefSeq lists it as uncharacterized. NCBI's taxonomy places the organism in Eukaryota, Metazoa, Chordata, Amphibia, Anura, Pipidae. The transcript is spliced from 2 exons. The record is from RefSeq and is a predicted model, not a curated record.
GUUUUUCCGCUUGCCGAAAAUAUCAGCCCUACGCCACAUCUGGCAUCAGCCUUAUAAUUGGUUCUUUUUCUCUGGAAACUCUUUAUAAGCAAAAAGCUGUCUUCUCAGUCUACUGUGCAUAUGACCCACCCAGGGCUGCAGCGAGAAUAAGAAGAUUGUGAUACUGUGCUCCUACAGCUUUCAGUAAACAGGAGCACCGGCCAGGGGGCUCAGGAGAGCAAUUUUAAUCACUGGGGUGAUCCUUUCUUCAUCAUUCAAGGUCAAGUCCCCUGAAUUUAACUGCUUAUUUGGUUGAUAAAACCAGGAAACAGUGGCUGCACAGACAGAGCACUCCUUACUGCAGACAGCGGCGAUGAGCCCAAACCAUUAGCCACAUGCAUAGGCUCAGCCUUCUGUAAAACCAAUGUAUUUAGAAAAAUUAAAUAGAAAACAUUGAUGGAAAAAAAUUACAGUGGCUAAAUUUCCAAAUUAUUCAUAUAAAAAUCUGUUUCUGUUUUCUCUACCUUAACAUUGGUACAACAUCCUUAACUUCUGAAAUGAAAUCUGUACAAAAACAUGAUGGGAAGGGGGGUCAGACAGAAGUUACAAAUGGUAUGUGUCCUUAUAGCUAAUCUGACCUUCUAUCAGUCAGUAUAAUGGUACGUGUCCUUAUAGAAAAUCUGACCUUUUAUAGGGCAGUAUAAUAUGCAGUACAAAGCCUUUAUUUGCGUUAUAUACAUAGGUGCUACUUAAAAAAGCAUUCAAAUGCUUACCAGAACAUAUAAAAUUCUUUCUGAAAGAUUUUUUAUCGCCACAGUGGCUACUCCAACAUGCAUUAAUAUAAUAAUGUCAUGCCACUUUUAUAAAAAAAAAAAAAAAGGGGGGGGUUUAUUAAAGUGACAUCACCCAAUAGAUCAAAAAGUGCCAUUCUGCUAUUUUUCACUUCCUGCUUAGCUAAUCUUGGCAAAUAUGCCAACUUGACUAAAGUUUGAUCUAAUCUUGGGGAAAUGAAAUAACUGGAUUGCUACAGCCGAUUCACUCAAGGGCCAAACGAUUGAUUCACAUUCCCAGGAUGUAUGCAGGGGUGAGGAACAGGAUUUUUAAACUUGCCUAAUUGACAUCUGGAUGACUUCUAGAAAGAUAUCAGUUGGUUACGCCUAUCUAAGAGCCCCAUACGCGGGCCAAUAAGCUGCCAACUCAGGCUAUUGCCCGUGCAUGGCAACCUUAACAGAUGCAGGUAUAGCUUGCUAUUCCCCUACAGUGCUGGCAGCAAUAGGUGGAAUUCUAAAUGCUGCCUUGCAAAAAGCUACCCACUGCUACUGUAAACAUGACCUUGGAUGAUGCUGCCUGUGACUUUAAAGUGAUACUGACAUGAAAACACUACUUUUUAAAAUGUGAAUCUACAUAAAAAGUUGCCUAUAGGUCACAUUGAUCAGUUUUUGCUGCUUCAGUAAGUAAUUGUUACUUGAAGUUCCUAAACCUGACUGUUUUGCCAACCUGACUGUCCCUUUUCAACCAGUUAUAGCUUCUAAUGCUAACGGACUCCUGAUGCACAAAUAUGGCCGCCCCCUCAUAAAGGAACAUGGGGGGAUCAGGUAAGUAAUGUAAAAGCAUCUGGCAAAUACUUUUAUGGCAAAAUUAUAAAAUGCAUGCAAAGAUAUUGUUAUGAAAGGUAAAAAGGUUUCAUUUCUGGUGUCGGUGUCUCUUUAAGGGCAUGUAGUGAUAAAAAAUAAAUCAUUUUGCGGCAAGAAAAAUAUUCCUUUAUGGUUGUGUCCUAACAUUUGGUAAGGGACCUCUUACGCUGAAGUAAGACUGACUCUUCCAAUAUUCCUAGGAAUCUCACAAAGAGGCUAAAGGGCCUGUUUAAUAUUAAGCAGAUGCUUAAAAAAUAAAUUAAUAGAUGUGCCAAUUUACAAUUUGGUUUCAUUAAUAAAAAUGCAACGUUUUGUACUAUAUCUUAUCUAGCUGCGGAAGUAACACUGAAUAUAUCUUUAGCUCUCCACUCCGGGGGGUAGCCUGGCAAUAGAAAACUUGUCACAAGCAGAACAGGGAUGUGCAGGCGAUUGGCUGAAUUGCAUCAGCCCAUAGGAUUCAUGAACAGCACAAGAAAAGGAAGGAAGUAGCCAAUUGUUGCCUGCGCCUCCUGCUGAUGUCACUCCAUUGGAUCACUCAGCGCGGUUGUGGGUGGGUGCACCGACUGACCUAGAGAUAUACUCUUUGCUUCCUUUCCAGGAAUAUAUACCAGAUUUUAGCAAUUGAGAAAAAUCUUGAAAGAUCAAAAUAAAAAAAAUUGACAGCUAAUACCUGAUGAGCUUCUGUAACAGUCAACUGAAGGUGUGUUUUCAACAUUCAAGCAAAUGUAUAAUGUAUAAAUCUGCCUCCUUGAUUCCAUCUGACGAUGAUGUCCGUUUACAUACAGGAGACCUUGCUAAUAAUAUUUGUGAACAUGUGUUUCACCUGAAUUCCGAAAUGAAAUCACUUUCAUUGAGAUGCCAUUUCUGUUCAAAAUUUGUUUUAUACUGAGAAAAAAAAACCAGUAAAAAUAAUGUUUUGCAAGGGAAU